UGGGGAAUUUUGGACAAUGGGCGAAAGCCUGAUCCAGCAAUGCCGCGUGUGUGAAGAAGGCCUUCGGGUUGUAAAGCACUUUUGUCCGGAAAGAAAUCCUUGGCUCUAAUACAGUCGGGGGAUGACGGUACCGGAAGAAUAAGCACCGGCUAACUACGUGCCAGCAGCCGCGGUAAUACGUAGGGUGCAAGCGUUAAUCGGAAUUACUGGGCGUAAAGCGUGCGCAGGCGGUUUGCUAAGACCGAUGUGAAAUCCCCGGGCUCAACCUGGGAACUGCAUUGGUGACUGGCAGGCUAGAGUAUGGCAGAGGGGGGUAGAAUUCCACGUGUAGCAGCGAAAUGCGUAGAGAUGUGGAGGAAUACCGAUGGCGAAGGCAGCCCCCUGGGCCAAUACUGACGCUCAUGCACGAAAGCGUGGGGAGCAAACAGGAUUAGAUACCCUGGUAGUCCACGCCCUAAAACGAUGUCAACUAGUUGUUGGGGAUUCAUUUCCUUAGUAACGUAGCUAACGCGUGAAGUUGACCGCCUGGGGAGUACGGUCGCAAGAUUAAAACUCAAAUGAAUUGACGGGGUCAUAGCUGUUUCCU
Molecule: ribosomal RNA, 586 nt
Filed under: uncultured bacterium
Lineage: Bacteria
Description: partial 16S ribosomal RNA
Rfam family: Bacterial small subunit ribosomal RNA
Source: RNAcentral